This 5395-nucleotide long non-coding RNA is filed under the name Sus scrofa (pig). RNAcentral's name for it is "lncRNA (ENSSSCG00030069833.1)". The record is from RNAcentral. Lineage: Eukaryota; Metazoa; Chordata; Mammalia; Artiodactyla; Suidae.
UUUUUUUUUUUUUUUUAGGGAAAGAGGUGGGGGAGCUCUAGGGUAAGUAAAGUAUGAUCAUCUUCCCUAAAGAUGUCACUUCAGUGACUUGAAAUGAAAACCUGUAUAUUCUAAAUGACCAAGUUUAAUUCACAUUUUUGAUCUGUAAACACACAGGCAAUAAGGAAAAGGCCAAGACGAUACUUUUAAAUGACUUUAAGAGCCCGGAAUAUGAGGAAGAAACCUAGAUAGCAGGAGGACUUGAUAAACUUGGCUUUGUUCCAGUUCAAUAAACAUGAUGGCCAUGAGAUUAAAUACUAAGUAAACAUCAUCCAAGACCAAGUUCUUUAAAAAGGAAAAGAAUUUAGGAGUUCCCUAGUGGUCUAGUGGUUAGGGCUCGGCACUUUCACCGAUGCAGCUCCGGUUCUAUCCCUGGUCUGGGAACUGAGAUCCCACAUCAAGCUGCUGCACCUUGUGGCCAAAAUAAAAUAAAAAGUACCCAUUCAUCACUGUACUUUGAACUCUGGGGAUAAGGAAGGCAAGGAGGGAGGAAAAGAAUUUACAAGGAACAGACCUGGACUUCAAACCAGUACUAGAUCUACUCAGAACACUUUGGCUAGAAAAUCAUAUAAUCAUAGUCCCUCUGGAUGGGGAGACCUCAAAGGUCACGAAUUCCUGGCGCUAACCCCCCACUACAAUAAUCCAGGUGAGUGAGAAGUGAUCCUCUGUGAACACCUUCAACAACUAAAUUCAAGACCUUCACUAUUAGAAAUCUAUUCUUGGAGUUCCCAUCAUGGCUCAGUGGAUAACAAACCCAACUAGUAUCUAUGAGGAAGCAGGUUUGAUCCCUGGCCUCGCUCAGUGAGUCAAGAAUCCGGCGUUGACAUGAGCUGUGGUGUAGGUCGCAGGCAUGGCUCGGAUCUGGCAUUGCUGUGGCUGUGACAUAGGCCAGCAGCUACAGCUCCAAUUCUACCCCUAGCCUGGGAACCUCCAUAUACCGCAGGUACACCCCUAAAAAGACAAAAAGAAAAGAAAAAGAAAACUAUUCUUUUCAUACAGAAUGCCAAAUUGUACCUCCAAAGGGAGUGGCAACGACCGCUUGGAUCCAAAUCCCUCUUCCUGAAAUCAUUCCUAGAAGUACUUUAAGGUGGCCACCGUGUAUCACCCGGAACCACCUCUUCUACAGAAGGAACAUUCCCAGAUUCUCUUCUCACAUAGUAUGGUCUGAGACAAACCUCUUCCCAGUCCUCACCCCUCUCCCUCAAGCCUACAAAUCUUGAGUUUUGAGAUGACUGAUGACAGUCACCUGUUAAUCCAAAGCCUUCAAUAUUCCAUCUACCCAAUACAGUUGAUAAAACUGCACUUGAUUAGGACAGAUUGAGGGUGAUAUCUAUUUGAUUAACAUAUAUCCUUUAGUGAUCAAGUCUGUGGCGCAAUCUUUCUUUUUAAAAACAACUCAUUUAAAAAAAAAAAAAAAACUCUCAAGUUUCACCUCAUUUACUAUUUAAAUGAAAAGUGCCGUGGGUCUACCACAAAAUUCUCUUUGUGGAAUCUUAAAGUUUUAAAGAACUACAGAAUAUGAACUGAUUCAGCUCUAUACGAACAUAAAAAAUAAUAAUAAAAGAAUAUGACAUAAGCCCUAAGCUUACGGGGACAGACCUGACAACCCAUUUUUACAUUCCCACCUUUCAAAGCAUACGUCAAGUUCAAAUUUCAGAUUUAGCCCAUCUUUUGGUCUCUUGGGGAUCCAAGACCCAAAGGUAAUCAACACACCCAAUUAUCAAAUAUUUACUGAGGGUCUAUUAUGUACCCAGGAUGCUAAAUCAUGGCAAGACUAUAAAGACUCAGAGCACCAAAUCACCACCCAGUAAGUUAAAAUCUACUCAGAUAAAAUAGUCACCAUUUUUAAAAGAAUAAUGAAUAAUGCAAAACAGCACAUACACAAGCUCAAAAUAAGUGACACAUCUGACAUCGACAUGUGAACAGCCACAAAAGACUUAAGAUGUCCAUGACAGUGAAGCAGGCUCUAGCUCCCUCCGAGCCCCAAAAGAAUAACACCCAAAUAAAUGGACAAGGAAUUUUACCCAUUAAUAACAUUUAAUUCCACUGACUGUCCUCUUCUUCCAAAUCUAUCCAACCCUAAAACGUAGCAUCACCAGCGCUACACUAUUUGAAGAACUUUUGUUCCCCAACGAAACAUAUGAAGUCACAAAAAAGAGAAGAGAAGAACCUUAAUUAAAAUGAAUUACAAAGUCAUCCUUAGGGAUAAGAAUAUUCCACCAUAAGGGGUUUUAGUGUUAUGCUAAGUAAAACUUAUACAGCAGUUCAAGAAGGACCUAAUAUCUAAUUCUGUUCUGUAAUGAACGGUGUUACUUGGGGAUUUUAGGAGCUAAGGAAGGAUGAGCCAGCAGUACAGCUGGUCAAGCUAUUUUGGAAUUAAGGAAUUCAAUGGACAUGCUGGGGAUUGAAAGCCACAAAAAUAAGACAGUUAGUCUUUAUGUACAUCCAUGGGGUGAAAACUGUUAUAUAUAAUUCAGCUAAUUACAUACUGUAAGAACACUGGAGUAAAACUUGGCUCUGCUAUCCUGGUUAAAAAGGUUCUCCCUUCAGACUGAUCACUGGCUGUUUUACAGUCAGUGGCUCCUUGGCAUUAAACGUGAGGCAGUUCACCAAAUAGCUCCUUUCUAUAUCCCUUCAUCUUGUUCUGACCAUGACCUAAGUGUUACACUAUUUUCUCUUCUUUUUAAAUAUUUUAAAUGGGGCAGAAAACAGGUGCAAUUCUCAAACUGCUAUUGCCUCUCAAAAGGUCAAAAACAUUGUAGGUGGCAACAGAAAUGCUGCCCUCUGCCACUGUUUUCAGAACAGCUGUACAAGUGCUAGACCUUGGUUCUUAACCUUUUAUGGGUCACUGACCCCUUAGAGAAUCUGAUGAAAGCAAGAAAAACGUGUGUACACAAAAUCUUCUGCCCAAGACUUCUGGGACAUUUUUGAACCCUUUAAAAGCUCAGCAGAAAGUGAAAAACUUGUAAGCCAGACUGUGAACCCCAUGGGGCACGGAUUAUGUUCUCUUUCUGGUUUUUACGCUCAAUUCUUAAGAUAACCAUUGCCCCAUGAGUAACUAAUUCUCAUCUACUCAAGACAUGGAUAAAUAGCUAAGAAUAGGUGGAUGGAUGAAAAAUACAAUAUCAGAGUUUUUUUAGUGGUUUCCAAGUCUGGUUAUCAUACAAUCACUGGGUAUUCUUCAGAAGAGCCUCCUGGGGCCCACCCUCUGAGAGAUGCAGAUUCAGCAGGUCUUGAGUGACACUUAGUAAUCUGUAUUUAUAUAAAGUUCCAUGGUGAUUAGGAAAUCAAGGAUAUGCCUUAACUCAGUGGAAGAAAGCUUUAAUUUUUUUUAACCUAAUAUGCAUUCGAAGGUAAUAUACAACCAUGUGUUGCACAAACAGAAACAGAGAAAGGAAGUUGUCUCAACUGCUCCAAGUGGGCCUGGCCAACCGCUGAGUGUCAGAGUUUACCAUCCUGAUACUAAAAAAAAAUCUGAUUAGUGUGUUUGGUGGUUUGUUUGUUUUGUUUUCCCUGAAAGGUCAUGCUAUGAUUCACAACCAGACGUUUACUCGUGGCUAGUUUACAUCAAGAGGUUUAGCACAGCUGCCGGUGAGAUCUCCACAUCAUUAGAAGCACAGCUUUGCUAAACCUUCCCGACAAGUUUUGAUGCCACAGAAAAACCGCAAAAUAGGAAUGGAUAUGCUUUAGUUUAGAAGAACUUCUUGACCUGGGUAAUUUUUUUUUUCCCACAAUUAAAAUAGCUUUCAACAGAAGGGCACUGCCAUGCAACACCUUCAAGGGUAUGACUUAUUAUUGUUCACUGGGUGAUUAGGAGACUAGGCUUAACCUGCCCGAGCAAUCAGGUGCCUCAAUUUCCUCUUUCCUACAGAAGUAAAAUUUUUAAAUCCUGGUCCCCUUCUCAUUCCUAUUUUCUACAGAUCAAUGAGACUGUUCAUUUCCUUCCUUCCUCCAUAUAAAAAAUGGUGCUGGACCCUGGCCUGUGUGCCAGGUAUCCUAGCCCCCUGCCCAAUAUAAACUUCAGACAGCAGGCCCCCUGCCCUCGUGUUGCUCAGUCUGCUAUCCAUGGCCAGAGGUCAUGAAAACAAGAAAUUCCUUACUGGAGUCACGACAUUCCUCAAAGAUGACAACCUGAUGAGUCUCAAGAAAGAACCAAGACUGUAGUUUCUAUUAAGUUAGGGCACAUCUCAGUAUGAUAAUAUUUUCCUCACCCCCAGCAACAUGGCAUGUAUGCAGGAGAGAACGAGACCCAGGGGAGUCAAAAGGCUGGAGUAACAGUCCAGACCCAGCUUCCUAUGUGACCCCUGAUUUUAUACCAACUAAUAAGAAUCCCACUGACAUACUGGAGAUUGAGAGCUAGGUAUAUUAUUACCUGACAACGUUAUUACAUUACUGAGCAGAAGAGAACUAGAGUGCCGUCUUACAAAAUAAUAAGAUAUGUUCAGACAAGUGAGAUAAACUGACACAUCUAAGUAGAGGGCACAAGAGUCACACCUAAGUCUGGGUUCAAACGACACAAGAAUUGGGACGACUCAAAGAGUGGUACACACUCAAAUUUUCCUCCAAACUCUAACACUGUUUAACACUCUAACACCAUGAGAGAGAAUGUCAUCUUCUCAUUUUAUAGAUCCCAAGGCCCAAAACUAAAGUGCCUUGCUUGGAACAGUGCAAAAGCAUUGAAUAACCACCUCCAAAUUUUCAGUCCAAACGAAGCUCACCAUGAUGCCCCAUUAGCUUCUCAAAAAGGUCCGCCUCUCCUUAUAAAUGGAGUUAAACAGACUUUUCUCAAAUGAGCCAUUGUAAAACACACAAAACAAAAUGAAAUGGUUUACACAACUUAAAGCAAAUGUAAGAGCUUGGGCCCUAGAUCUACACUGCUACAGGACUUCAGGGAGACGACUGAACAGCUCAGUGCCUCAGCUUCCUCAUCCGUAAAAUGGGAAUAAAAGGAAUAACCAGCUCAGAGUUGUGACAAGUAACAGUGCCUGGAACACAUUAAGUGCUCAGCAAAUAUUCAUUACAAUCGUCACUAUUAUAACCUCCCUCUAAAUUCAACUGUCUGGUACUUAGAGGAAUAAACAAGUUUCGCUAUUGCUAUAGACUACAGAAAACGUCUUUAUCAUGUAUUUACAACACAGUCGUUCCUCAAAAAAAAACAAUUUUUUUUAAACAAACAGUAAUUAAAAAGUUCCCUUUCUCAACUGGCCUAAUGUACCCACAUAAACCCAGGCUCCACGCACACCUCAAUUAAAGAACAGUCAAAGGCAGUGUCUGCUCUCUGCAGCCUUUCACACCUCAGCAGAAUGUGCAUAAACAGUCUUUUUGCUUCAGAGGGCUGUUCCGAGAAUAAAUGGUU